AACGAACGCUGGCGGCAUGCCUAACACAUGCAAGUCGAACGAGACCUUCGGGUCUAGUGGCGCACGGGUGCGUAACGCGUGGGAACCUGCCCUUAGGUUCGGAAUAACUCCCCGAAAGGGGUGCUAAUACCGGCUAAUGUCUUCGGACCAAAGAUUUAUCGCCUUUGGAUGGGCCCGCGUUGGAUUAGCUAGUUGGUAGGGUAAAAGCCUACCAAGGCGACGAUCCAUAGCUGGUCUGAGAGGAUGAGCAGCCACACUGGGACUGAGACACGGCCCAGACUCUUGCGGGAGGAAGCAGUGGGGAAUAUUGGACAAUGGGCGAAAGGCUGAUCCAGCAAGGCCGGGUGAGUGAUGAAGGCCUUAGGGUUGGAAAGCUAUUUUACCCGGGAUGAUAAUGACAGUACCGGGAGAAUAAGCUCCGGCUAACUCCGUG
Molecule: ribosomal RNA, 433 nt
Filed under: uncultured bacterium
Lineage: Bacteria
Description: partial 16S ribosomal RNA
Rfam family: Bacterial small subunit ribosomal RNA
Source: RNAcentral